AUGGCUCAGUGAGGCUUUCGGACUGGCCCAGAGAGGUGGGCAACUACCACUCAGGGCCGGAAAGUUAUCCAAACUCGGUCAUUUAGAGGAAGUAAAAGUCGUAACAAGGUCUCCGUUGGUGAACCAGCGGAGGGAUCAUUACUGAGUUACCGCUCUACAACCCUUUGUGAACAUACCU
This 178-nucleotide ribosomal RNA is filed under the name Colletotrichum salicis. Its description in RNAcentral is "partial 18S ribosomal RNA". The stretch from base 1 to 141 matches the Rfam family "Eukaryotic small subunit ribosomal RNA", at positions 1693 to 1831 of the family's 1831-position model. The record is from RNAcentral. Lineage: Eukaryota; Fungi; Ascomycota; Sordariomycetes; Glomerellales; Glomerellaceae.